RNAcentral lists this long non-coding RNA (13692 nucleotides) under Triticum aestivum (bread wheat). Its description in RNAcentral is "long non-coding RNA (TAES_LNC005322)". Lineage: Eukaryota; Viridiplantae; Streptophyta; Magnoliopsida; Poales; Poaceae. The record is from RNAcentral.
UGAGAGCAAAUCUUAUCCAGAGCUGGAUAAGUCAGCUUUGCUUGUAGCUCAAGUAAAGUUGUCGUGUGUGUUUGAAAUCUGACCUUUGGAACACGUGUCAGUUCCUUAGUGACCCAGGGUCAUUCCGGACAAAUCAGCUCGGGUUGCCUAGUGGCUAUAAAUAGCCCACCCCUUACACCAUAAAUUGGUUGGCUGCUCAGAGUUAGUGCACAGCUUUUGUCAUUUGAGAGCAAUCUAACUCGAAGCCUUUGAGAUAGAAAUACUUGCGAGGACAAAGCCCUAAACACCCAAAGCCAAAGAGUGUUAGGCAUCACUGAAGUCUUCCUGUCUGUGUGAUCUGAAGACUUAUUACACUUGAGGACUGUGAAUCCUCCAGCCGGUUAGGCGUCACGUUCUGAGCAUUGUGGAUCACCGGUGAACAAAGUCUGUGAAGGUUUGGAAGUAUACCUUGAAGACUUACCAGAGUGAUUGGGCGAGGACUGGGUGUCCUUAGCUCAAGGGGAAUAAGGUGAAGAGAUGGUCUUCUGAGUUAAAUCUCAGCCUCCCUAACCAGACGUACAAUUGUCCCAGCAACUGGAACUGGUCUAACAAAUCAUUGUCUUCAACGAGCAACUGGUUCCAUCCUUUCCAUCUCCUUAUUUACAGUUGGUUCUUGUGAAGUCAUUGCCUGUUUGCAUUAUCUUUUGUCUUCACUAAGUGACUGCUUGUUCUGAUCGGCUUCAUACUAUCGUCCAUCCUGAUCUAUACUACCUAGCUACUAUUAGUCUUUGUGCUUUCACUUCAUUGAAUACUUGACUAUGGCUUGCCUAGUGUAGUCUACCUUCCGCUGCAUGGUAAUAGGUUUAUUUCUAUUGUUUGUCUUCAAAACUUCCAUGUUUUGAAGACUUUCAUAAAAAUCGCCUAUUCACCCCCCCUCUAGUUGAUCACGAGCACUUUCAAUUGGUAUCAGAGCAAGGUACUCCCUUGUUCUGUGUGAUUCGGUUUAACCACCUGGAGUUUUAGCUAUGUCGACUGCAGGGAUAAUCAAAGUCUCCGCUGCGUGCCCCGUCUUCGAUGGAACUGAAUAUCCCUACUGGAAGAAUAAGAUGCGCAUGCAUCUUGAAGUCAUUGAUGUCGACCUCUGGUAUGUCGUCAAGAAUGGCGUUCCUAAGGCUGGUGAAGGUGUCACCGCUGCUGAUGUCAAGAAGUUCGUUCAACUGGACUCCACUGCCAAGAACAUCAUCUGUGGUUAUCUGACCAAAAGGCAGUAUGGCCAUGUGAGUGCUCUGGAAACAUCUAAGCUAGUCUGGGACUGGCUCUCCAAGGUCAAUGAAGGCGUCUCAACCCAAAGAGAUCAAAGGAUCAGUGUCCUUUGCAACCGCUUCAAGAGAAACAACAAUGAGAAUGUUCAUCUCACGUUUGAUCACCUUACUGACAUCACAAAUGAGCUUCAAGCUCUCGGCGCUACUGAGAUCACCAAGCAUGAAAUCGUCAAGCCACUCCUGAGAUCACUUGACAGCUCAUUUGACACCCUAGCCCUGAUGAUUCAAGAACGCCCUGACUUCAAGACACUCGAUCCGUCUAACAUACUUGACAGGCUCAACACACAUGAGUUUCAGCUUUCUGAGAAAAGAGAUAUCUAUGGUCCCAACUAUGGCCGAACUCGGGCAUUGAAGGCAAAAGCUGUCUCCUCAUCUGAAGAAGUAUCUGACUGUAGUUCUGAUGAUCCUGAAGACAUUGGAAAGGAGCUUGCUAUGCUUGUGAAAAAGUUCCAAAAAUUCACCAAGAAAAAGGGCUUCAGAAAGUCUUCACGAUCAAGCUCAAGGAAUGAUGAAGCUUCUGCUCACGACUACAAGAAGAGAACAUGCCACAAGUGCAAGAAACCUGGUCAUUACAUCUCUGAGUGUCCACAGUGGGACAAUGAGAACAAGAAGAAUAAGAAGAAGAGCAAGGAAUAUGAUUCUGACGACAAGAAGAAGAAGAAAUACUCAAAGUCUUCUUCCAAGUCUUCCUCAAAGUCUUCAUCACACAAGAAGAGCUCAUCUGGCAAGGCUCAUGCGUUUGUUGGCAAGGAAAUGGAUUCAGAGGAGGAGUCUGCUUCUGAGGAGGCGGAGGUGGAGUCUGAGGAGGAGUCUGACUCUGGUGUUGCAAGCUUGGCUACAGCCUACGUUGCCAAGUCCAUCUUCAACACUGAAGGCAAUGACUUCAUCAGCGACGCCGAUGCCGAUGACAAGGACAACUUCGCUCCCACCUACUGCUUCAUGGCACGCGGUGCCAAGGUAAACUCACGCACCACUCACUAUCAAACAUCAAGUGAAGAUGACUCUGAUUGUGGUUCCAAACCCAGCUACAAAACACUUGCUAAAAUUGCAACUGAACAACAGAAAGCUAUGGAACAUAUUAAAAAACGGUUAGACAAAAGCGAUGACCUGUUAGACGCUGAAAUGACUCAAUCUCAGUCCUUAAUUGAAGACAUAAAAAAUCUUCAUGUUAAGUAUGAGGAACUUGAAAGUCGUCAUGAAACGCUCUCAACAACUCAUGAAAAGCUUUCCUAUGAUUAUCUUCAAAGGAAGCAAGAUCUUGAGAAAUUGAGAGCGGAUCAUGAAGAUCUUCAAAAGGAAAACAAGUCACUUCACGCCAAACAGAUCAGUCCCACUCAGGAAGGAUUUGAACCACCAUGUCUUAAAUGCAUUGAGCAUGACAACGCUACUUCUGUUGCUGGAUGUUCUACUGCUGCUACUAUUGCAAUAUCUCCAACUGUUGAUGUGGUAACUAACCCCUCUACUGAGGAUGCCAUUGCUAUUGCUGAUGAAAAUGCUAGGUUGAAGACAUUGCUUGAAAUAGGGAUGUACAAAAGUCUCAAAGGGCAUCAGACACUAUGUGAUGUCCUCAAAAGGCAGAUCCAGAACCGAAACCCUAGGAAAGAGGGUGUUGGGCUCGAAAGGAAAAUGAAUGCUGAUGGCUCUUACUGGAAACCUGAGCAGUACCCCAAAACCACAUGGGUUGCUGCAAAGGAACCUUCAAUGGAUCCAUCCACCCUAUCUAGCUUCACUUGUACUAAUCCCAUUGUCACUGAUGAAUCCUUUGAUGCAAACUAUAAACUAUUUAAGAAUCAGAAUGGUGAAGUGUUUGCCAGGUACAUUGGUACUAACUGCAGGAAGAGGCCACCUACGAAGAAAGUCUAGGUGCCGAAAAAGUGUCUGGAGAAUCUUCAUGUGAAUGUCGUCAUGACACCAAAAGUGAAGAAGACAAACCCCAGACCACAGGCUUCAUAUGGUCCAAAGGCUUCAUACAGACAGAGGACUCACCUGAGUGGCACUAACGCAAAUGUUUUGCAGGGAAACCAUACCCAGGCCUAUGAAUAUGAGCGCGCUUCAUCAAACCGCCAUGUUCAUUAGACCAAGAACUACUCUGCUUAUUCUUAUGAGUACUAUUGUCCACCUGCAAGACUAUUUGCUAGGGCUCCAAAGCCAAAGUUCUUAGUUGCUGCACUUAGACUCAUCGCUUCGAAGCCACCCUUGAAGAUGUGGGUGGCUAAGAAAGCUUAACUCUCUUUUACAGGGAAGGGUCUCCAGCCGAAAAUCAAAUGCGUCUGAAGCUAUUGCUGGGGACCUUAAACAUCUUGUAUGGCGCAAGAUCAAAUGCCCAAAUGGUCUUAUUAUGUAUUUUGUUCCUGAGUGGCUUUCUACUUGCCCUAUCAGUCCUAACCUCGAUCUAAGCUUUCAUAAUCCACUUGCUCGUCAAAUGUUUAUGCUUCACAAUUCUCUUCGUGAAGCCUAUCCCCUAACUGCACUAUAGGGUAUGACACCAGCUGCUUCAGAAUGGAUUAUUGAUAGUGGAUGUACUAAUCACAUGACUGGCAAGCGAAGUCUUCUCAUGGACUCAACUCUAUGUCCAUCUGACAAAAGUCACAUCACAUUUGCUGAUACUGGCAAAAGCAAGGUAUUGGGUCUAGGUAGAGUUGCAAUCUCAAAGGAUCAGCACAUGGAUAAAGUGAUGCUUGUUGAAUCCCUUGGUUUCAACUUAAUGUCCGUCUCAAUGCUUUGCGAUUUGACCAUGAUUGUGAUAUUUGGAAAAUAUCAUUGCCUAGUUCUAAUGGAAUCUGACAAGUCUCUAGUCUUUGAAGGGUAUCGGAAAGAUGAUAUGUACAUGGUAGAUUUCUCAGAAGGACCACAGCUUGCUGUAUGUCUUCUUGAAAAAGCUUCAGAAUGCUGGCUCUGGAAUCAGAGGCUAGGGCAUGCUGGCAUGAGGAACUUUCACACUCUUGCAAAGAAGAAGCACGUCCUAGGCAUCGAGGGCGUCAAGUUCAAAAAGGAUCACUUAUGCGGUGCCUGCGAAGUUGGAAAGAUGACGAGGGCCAAGCAUCCCUCGAAGACAAUCAUGACAACGACUCAACCCUUCGAACUGCUACACAUGGACCUCUUGGGCCCUACUCACUACUCAACCCUUACUACUACUGCUUGUCUCUAUGGCUUCGUCAUUGUUGAUGAUUAUUCAAGAUAUACAUGGGUGCAUAUAAUCCUCUACAAGACUAAAGUGCAGGAUGUCUUCAGACAUUUCGCCAAUCGAGCCAUGAGCAACUAUGGCGUCAAGAUCAAGCACAUCCGAAGUGACAAUGGCACUGAAUUCAAGAACACCGGCCUCGACACUUAUCUUGAUACAUUGGGCAUCACUCAUGAGUUCUCAGCUCAGUACACGCCUCAGUAGAAUGGCAUCGUCGGACGCAAGAACAGAACACUCAUUGAGAUGGCUCGGACGAUGCUCGAUGAAUACAAGACUCCAAGGAAGUUCGGGCCUGAAGCUAUUGAUACAGCAUGCCAUGUCAUCAACCGUGUUUAUCCUCACAAGCUGCUGAAUAAAACAUCCUAUGAACUCCUCACUGGUAAGAAGCUAAACGUCAAUUACUUCAGAGUAUUUGGUGCCAGGUGCUGGGUCAAGGAUCCACAUCACACUUCAAAAUUUGCACUGAAAGCACAUGAAGGUUUUAUGCUUGGUUACAGAAAGGAUUCGCACUCCUAUAGAGUCUUCAACCUCUUUCACUAUAAAGUGGUUGAAACUAUGGAUGUGCGGUUUGAUGAGACUAACGGCUCGCAAAGAGAGCACCUGCCAAAUGUGCUAGAUGAAAUUCCACCCAGUGAAUCCAUCAAGCUUAUGGGAACUAGAGAAAUCAUACCGUCUGAAGUACAGCCUGAAGAGGAACUUAUCAUCUCUGCACCUGAUCAAUCUGAAGACAAUGCUCAGCCUGAAGACAAUCCUUCAAACGAUGACAAUGAACAACAAGAGAAAAAUCUUCGUCCAGAUCAUCCUCGUAUUGCAAAUGAAGUACGGAUUGAGAAGAUAAUCGAUAGCAUCAAUGCACCCGGUCCACUUACUCGAUCAAGGGCAACACAACUAGCAAAUUUCUGUGGACACUUUGCAUUCGUCUCAAUAUCAGAACCGAAGAAAGUUGAUGAAGCCUUCAUGGAACCUGAAUGGAUUCAAGCUAUGCAAGAAGAGCUUCAACAAUUUCAGCUGAAUAAUGUAUGGGAACUGGUCAAGCGUCCUGAUCCUUGUAAACACAAUAUCAUAGGCACAAAAUGGAUAUAUCGCAACAAGCAAGAUGAGCAUGGUCAAGUUUUCAGAAACAAGGCUCGUCUAGUUGCUCAAGGAUACACUCAAGUUGAAGGAAUUGACUUCGAUGAAACAUUUGCUCCUAUGGCUAGGCUUGAAGCUAUACGCAUAUUGCUAGCCUAUGCAAAUCAUCAUAACAUCCUUCUGUAUCAAAUGGAUGUGAAGAGUGCGUUUCUCAUUGGCAAGAUUGAAGAAGAAGUGUAUGUUGCACAACCGCCUGGCUUUGAAGAUCCAAAACAUCAUGACAUGGUUUAUAAGCUCAACAAGGCACUGUAUGGCCUCAAUCAAGCCCCUCAUGCUUGGUAUGACACACUCAAAGACUUCCUGAAGAGCAAAGGCUUCAAACCUGGUUCCCUGGAUCCCACUCUCUUCUUGAAGACAUAUGAUGGUGAACUAUUUGUGUGCCAAAUAUAUGUGGAUGACAUUAUCUUCGGCUGCACCAAUCAGAAAUACAGUGAUGAGUUUUGGAUACAUGAUGCAUGAGCAAUAUCAGAUGUCCAUGAUGGGUGAGCUGAAGUUCUUCCUUGGCCUUCAAAUACGGCAGCAACGCAAUGGCAUCUUCAUAUCUCAAGAGAAAUACCUCAAAGAUUGCCUGAAGAAGUCUGGAAUGCAAGACUUCAAAGGUUAUACGACGCCAAUGCCUACCAAGAGUCAUCUAGAUUCUGACGCCAAUGGUAAAGAGUUCGAUCAAAAGGUAUACCGCUCCAUGAUUGGUUCUUUGCUUUAUUUAUGUGCAUCUAGGCCAGAUAUCAUGCUUAGUGUUUGCAUGUGUGCCCGAUUCCAAGCGUCACCAAAGGAAUCACAUCACUUAGCUGUGAAGCGAAUUCUUCGAUAUUUGGCUUACACCCCAACACUAGGAUUAUGGUAUCCAAAGGGCUCAGAGUUUGAUCUAGUUGGAUUCUCGGAUGGUGAUUAUGCUGGUGACAAAGUGGAUCGCAAGUCUACAUCAGGCACAUGUCACUUUCUAGGACGAUCACUUGUGUGUUGGUCUUCAAAGAAGCAGAACUGUGUAUCUCUCUCCACUGCUGAAUCUGAAUACAUUGCUGCUAGAUCUUGCUGCGCUCCGCUUCUAUGGAUGAAGCAAACACUCAAAGACUAUGUCAUUCAUCUGAAGCAAGACACUCUACUGCAAUAAUGAAAACGCCAUCAAGAUCGCCAACAACCCAGUUCUACACUCGAAGACAAAGCACAUUCAGAUCCGUCAUCACUUUCUCAGAGAUCAUGUCAUGAAGGAAGAUAUUGAUAUCAUUCACGUCAACAUUGAAGAGCAGCUGGCAGAUAUCUUCACAAAGCCCUUGGAUGAGAAAAGGUUUUGCAAGUUGCGGUGUGAGCCAAAUAUCUUGGAAUCCUCAAAUGUCCUGUGAUCAUGCACACAUCCUAACACUAAUGCAUGUUGAUGAAUUAGAUGUGCAAACACACGAAGUAACCUAUAUCUUCAACCAAUGAAGACUUACACUCUAAGUGUGAAUACAUUAACGCGGAAUUUGACCUCGGAGCGCCAUGAUAAUUGUGCGUCGUGUCUGGGUCUAAUAUUUCCUAUAUGGUGGGUAACACCACCACCAAACAUUUGUUUUGAAUACCUUCUAUUGGCGUUACAUUUGCAAAGUCUUCGCAUUUUGUUCGUCUUCUGCUAACAUGGCUUCAUGUUUAUCUUCAAUAUACUGAUUUGGUUUCUGUCCUCUACAACAUUCACUUAUAGCUAUGUCUUCUAGUUGAAUCUUUUGAACUAAGUGAAUGUGAUCGGACCCUCACCUUUCUAUGCUCCCGUCUUAAGUCUAUCUAUCCAAAUCAUAUGCAUUCUAUUGAAACUGUCGAAUGUCUUCGUUGCGUCCUUGUCAGCAAAAGAUACAGAGACAAACAUUAAAUCUAUUUUAAAUGCUCAAUCCUUUUUACCCGAAUCCCGGAGAAGCGGGAAUGACCACCCGACAAUCUAGGCGUGCGUGGGAACAUGGAACAACCUCCAAUGUGUUGCAUGAUUGCCACGUGUCCAUCAGAUGUGAACCGCCAGGGGCACCUGCGUAAUAACAUUGUGCCGUCCCUGUCCCUAUAAAUACACGCAUCACCCUAGUCAUUAUCUCUUCUUCCACUCUCGCACAAACCCUAGCGCCAUCGCUAGCCCUUGACGACGCCGGCGACGAAGCGCUUAGCUGCCGCGACCUCACCGACGCCGUCAUCACGCCGGCCGCGGACAUUGUCUUCUCCGCCGUCGCUGUAGGUGUCCUCCGUCGCCAAGUUAGGGCACGGAAGAUCGAACUGCUCAGCCUCCUCUCUCACUCUGUCUAUCAGUUCCUCGUGUGGUAAAUAAAACCUCUUUUUACAGUCUUUUUGAUCCGAUAGAUUCAUCCUUUCCGACCACAAGUGGUUUCUGUUGCUACAAAGUUGGAUCUAUCCUGUUCUUCAUCUCAUACCAUGCCUAGUAUGUUCACUUAUGCUUCACAAAGUAGUUAGAUUCCUCACUUGUACUUAUUCGUGGAUUCGUACAAAUCUGGAACCAACUCACUACAUAUGAGUGAAUGUCUUCGCACUAUGAGGUCAAUGUCUUAUAAACUGAUUUAUCUUCAAAAUCUUCUAAGAAUGCAUAUGACCUCUUCCCCUUCCCUCACGUCUCUAAUGCUGUCAUAGGUACAUGUCCAUGGGAGAAUCCCUUGGUUCUCAUAGUUUGCAUUCAUUUCCGGAGUUCUUACAAUAUCACAUAAAUUCUCCUGAAGCCAGUUCUUGUCUGACCAGUAGACGGAAGACUUUGACAGUGUUGAAGCCUUUCAGUCUAAACUUCAUGGCUAAAGAGAAAUCAGCAAGGAAGGGUGGUAGACAGCGCCGUGGGGGUACAUCAACGGACCUGCCCGAAGAUCUCUAUGAACUUUACAAAACUGACCCCAAAGAAAGCUAUGGUCAGCGCAAGACACGAAUCCAAUGGAUUCGAAGAUACUGGGCCGAGCAAUGGUUCAAGUACAGAUUCGUCACCAGGGAGUAUGCUGAAAAGAAUGCUCUCUCGUGUCCUUGGGGAGAUAUUCUCUAUAAAAAUCUUCAACCCAAGACCAGAACUGAAGCCAUUGCUCAAGGAUUUUACCCUUGCAUGGUCCGAGGGCCACAACCUACUAAUGUCGACCCAUCGUCAUUGCUUUGGUGUCGAGAUGACAAUCUGUUCAAGCGCAACUAUCAGGCUGCAAAGAACUCGGCCAAGGAAAACAAGAAGUCUUUGGGAUUAGGCUUCAACCCAGGCCCCUCUACACCACGUGCUGACGGCACACGCGAAGCUAAACCCAAUCUUAUUGGGCCCUUCUACAACUUAGAAGGUCUCAUCACUCACAUUCAGGUUCAAGGGGCAGUCGUGGACCACUCUGCAGAUGAUGCUGAUUCUGACGAAGCGCCUGCACCACCGAAGCCUGUGAAGCAAAAGAAACCAAAGGCUUCAAAGCCCUCCUCUGCACCAAAGUUCUCACGGGUGAAGCCUCUAGCCACUGCACCUCCUGAAGCCAGUGUGCAGUCUGAAGAUCUCUCACGCAUCUCCAAGUCUGACAAGUUGAAAAAACCCAUGCAACCCACUGGUCAAGAACUGACUCCAGCUGCUGUUUUGAGAAACGAGAAUGAUGCCUUUGAUCUAUCCAGCGACGAUGAUCUUGGCAAUAACGCUCUUAAGCAAUUGAUAAAGAGCAAGCAAGAGGCGGAAAUCUUUAAUGAUCUUCCCCUCUUUGAUGUGGAAAUCCUGUACAAGUUUAUUGAUGAAUGGUUUGACAGCCCAGACCUUAGUUUCGAUGAUCUUCAGCUCCCGAUUGGCCUCAGCGUCUCCUUCCACGGAGCUAUUGCUCCUGAGCUGGCUCUUGCAUAGAAGAUUGUUGAGCUGAAGCACAAAAUUGACUAUGAAAAGGCUCAGUUCAAGAAGAACAUGGCCAAGCUCAAUGUUGAAGACAUUCAAAACUUCAAGGUUAUGAUGCAUGAGCUCAAGGAGGCAUUCCACAAGAAACGAGAAGAGGCAAAAGGUUCUCGUGACUGCAUGAAGAAUCUUGCUGCCAAAUGUGUUCAAGGCUACAAUGAAGCUGAAAAGUGCAAGGCUUUGGGGCAACCAGGCAUCCACCCCAGAAUGGCUGCCAAGAAGAAGAAGAAGCCAGCUGUGGCCGAACCAGAAGCAUCAAGGCAGGAAGAACCUCGCAUUGUCUUCCCGGCCAGUAUGACAGGCUCGAAGCCUAAGGUCCCCAUAGUGGCUUCAGAGUUCAAGAAAACGAGGGAAGCUGAAGCCGAAGCCAGAAAGUGCAAGACCAAAGCCACCACUGAUGAGGCUCCACCAACCAAGAAAAGAAAAACAAAGAAGCGAGACUGGGCUGCUUCCACAGAGCCCCUUGUUGUCGAGCCAAUUUCUGUUGCUUGUCCUCCCUCUGCACAUCGAGAACGUCGUUUGGUAGUUCAUGAGCCUGCUCCCACAAAGGCUCCUGAAGCCGAAGAGAAUCCAUCUGUUGACCCCACCAUAGCUGAAGACAUUGGUCCUCACGACAAUGUUGAAGAUGAUGAAGUACUUCCUCAGAUCGAGCUCAAUUUGGUAUCAUCGCCUGUUCUCACGAACAGCGAACUCAUCAGCAUUGGUCGUCCAUUGACGCCAAUUGCUCACGAUGACUCAUGGGCUGAUCACCCACCAGAAUCCCCUCGUGAUGAAGAAACACUAGUCACUCCCCCACCACAGGUCACCACACCGAUGAUUGACGAUGAAGACUUUGAGGCCCAACCAACUCCAUCUCCACAGGCGUCGCCAGCGUUUCGCAGGCUUCGCAAAGGACCCAGGCCCCAGGUCACAUUGUCAAGUGUUCCAGAAGGAGAAGAGCGCCAAUCCGUUUCACGCGAAGUCUUUCCUGAAGCCUCUCCUACUGCGAACAUCCCUGAAUCUGAAGCCAAAAUGACUGAAGAUAUUCUGGCUGCAUCAGCCGAUGAAGAAGAAGAACCACACAAUGAAGAAAGAGCUGCUACACCCUCGUCCAACCAUGAAGAUGUUCUCAAGGAGAACGUGUCUGACCCUCCAGCUCCUGAAGUGGAGGUCACCAAUACUGAGGCGGCCACCAACAUCAACACUGAAGCCAAUGACAUUGUCAUGGCUGAAGCUAAUGUGGCGCCCGAAGCUAAUGUGGUGCCAGAUGUCGCUGCACCUGAAGCUUAUGCUGCACCUGAUGCAAAUCUACAGCUUUAAGCCAAUGCCUCUACUCCUGUACCACCUCCCAAGCCACACACCAUCGAGCAAGCAUAUGAUCGUGGUCAGCUUGUUACAGUCCGUUGGCCAAUCCUGGUUCCUCCGCCUGCUCCCGGUCCUCAAUUUGCCUAUCAUGUGGAGCACAGGCCUCAGGUCCAGAAGUCAAAGACAAGGCUACCACGGUUUCUAGGUAUUGAAAUCUCUCUAGGAUCAUUUAAUCUGAAUGGAUUCAAGGCACACAACACAUUCUUCGACAGUGACAAGAACCCCUACACACGGCCAAGAAUCUCUUCGGACCGAUUCUGGAGUUAUCAGCAGCGAAGCUAUUAUUCAUGCAUCUUGUACAAUCAGGGGCACAUCUUCCCACGUAUGCGUCUUGAUUGUGAAGCCAUUGCUGGACUGCCAUGCCUUGAAGAAGCCCUUGACUGCUUCCGUGAUGCGGGUCUGCUCAACUUUGUGACUGCCAAGGAACACUGGAAUGAAGAACUUCUGCUUCAAUUCUAUGCUACCCUCCACAUUCGUGGAUACAACAGGGAUCCGAAGACUUGGAUCCUUGAGUGGAUGAUAAGAGAUGUUCAUCAUUAAGCUAAAUCCCAAGACAUCAUUGAGCUUACAGCCCUGCCCACUCUUGGUGAAUAUUAUGAACCAGGUUGUCAACAACACCAGAAUGCUUUGGAGAGCAUUUUCAGAAGCUAGAACCCAACAUGAGCCAAAUGCUGAGCAUGAUGAAGCCUUUGCCACGCGAUGUUGAAUACCCAACCGAAUUCUUUGUUGAAGACCUAGAGUAUCUGCCCCGCACCAUUUACCAUAUCAUCAGAAAAACUCUAUGGCCUGUCAAAGGACAUUCAUCUGCAGCGAAGCUCGAAGGAGCAAUGAAGACUUUGGUUUUCUAUAUCUUCAAUGGCAUAAGCUUCAAUGCUCAAGACUUCUUCAUCAGGCAGUUGGCUGCAUCUGGCUCCGACAUCUUUGGUCUGAAGUUCUAUGCUCCAUGGGUAAUGCAUCUUAUCAAGCUUCACUCUGCCUUCAACUAUCAGCUGUCUGCACGCAAUCAUCUAGUAUUCUUGCCAGAGGUUCAUUUGUCUAUUGAACCUAUUUACCCAGAGCCUGAAAGGAUCCAAUUUAUUUUCACAAUGUUGAUCAUCAAAGCUUCACCCAGCCCAUUGAAGGAGUUCAGGCAGUCUCUCAUGUUUAUCCCUUGGCUGGCAACACAUGUGCCCCUCGUGCCCAAACUGAAGCCACUGGAAGCACCAUUGCCCAAAGGCCUCGGAAGCGAUCUCGUGUUCUCAACGACCGAGAGCUUCUUGUCGCUCUACAUCAGAAACAGGAUAAGCAUCAUGACUGGCUUAAGCGUCAGAUGCAAAGCCUCUUGGUGGACGUCAAUCGCAUUCGCAAUCUUGCCACCAAGAAUUCCUUUGUUACACAUGAAACCUGUCGGAGGUCUUGGAAGAGUUUGACAUUGCUCACUGCUGAAGAAGAUCUUCAAGACGAUGGCUUCAUAGAAACAUUCAAGUUUGACUCCACUCCUCCAAGGAAUGCUCACGUGCGUCGGACUCCCUCACUUGUAGACUCUGACUAUUCUUCCUCAGCUGCAACGGUGAAUGCCAGAGUCAUAGAUGAUCAAGAUGAUGCUACCUCACCACCUCCAACUUCAGCGCGUAUCAACACUGCACCAAGUUCUUCUACACCACCGGACCUCAACGACGACCCUGCUGCUUCGCCUACUCCUCAUGGGAACUAGUAGAAGCUCUAUGUCUUCAAACCUUUUUGGUCAUUACUGACAAAAGGGGGAGAAGCAUAUGAGUUGAUAGUCUUCAAGCGGGUCCAUAUGGGUGGUUGCUUUAUUUUUGCUACUUCUGCCAAGUGCUUACAACUCUCGCUUUUGACAAAUUUGGUUCGUCUUUGAGUUGUAACACUUAAACUUGUUGGUCGUCUGCUACCUUUUCGACACUAUGUGAUGCGAUGAUAAAUUCCGCAUGUGCGACGAUAAAUUCUACAUGAAGUCAUCUUGCAGACGUCCAUUUUUUCAUUAUGCAUGUCAUUAUCUUCGGUAUAUCCUCUCAUGCAUGAUGAAUUGUCUUCAUAAGUAGAAGAGGAGCUCCGCAAGUACAACCUGCCAUGUGCAUUUGCAUUCAAAGGCAAAAUAUGUAUAUGCACAUCUUUAGGGGGAGCGUUCCUGCUACUUAUGAAGACAAUACUUAAAUCCUUUACAAUUUCACAUACUUCUAUCCCCGUUGAAAACUUCAACUAGUUUGUCAUCAAUCACCAAAAAGGGGGAGAUUGUAAGUGCAUCUAGUGCCACCCCUGGUUGGUUUUGGAGUAUUGACGACAAACCUGGUUGAGGGACUAAUGUGUUUGUGAGAAUUGCAGGAUAACACAGGUAGUAGUCCCUCAUUGAUUCGGUUUACCUACCGGAGAUGACCCCUAAAAAUGUAUGAAGACAUUGAAGACAAAGGUGGUAUGUGAAGGUAUUCACAUUGAAGACUAUGACAAGAGAAGACAUCGCGUGAAGACUAUGGAGCGCGAAGACUUAGUUGUUUCGUUGUUUCCUUUUCUUCUUUUUUGAGUCAUAGGAACCACCAUACUGUUAAGUGGGGUCCAAGUGAACCAGUCAGAAUGACUGAAGUGAUGCUUAACCAAAAUCCUAUGUCUUCGAGCAAAGACAAUGAGAGAAAAUCUUAUCCAGAGCUGGAUAAGUCAGCUUUGCUUGUAGUUCAUGUAAAGUUGCCGUGUGUGUUUGAAAUCUGACCGUUGGAACACAUGUCAGUUCCUUAGUGACCCAGGGUCAUUUCGGACAAAUCAGGUCGGGUUGUCUAGUGGCUAUAAAUAGCCCACCCCUUACACCAUAAAUUGGUUGGCUGCUCAGAGUUAGUGCACGGCUUUUGUCAUUUGAGAGCAACCCAACUCGAAGCCUUUGAGAGAGAAAUCCUUGCGAG